UCCCAGGGUCGUGGGUUCGAGCCCCACGUUGGGCGUGUGAUAUUUUUUUUGUCCCUCUUCGCUUUUUUUUUUGUUUUUCGUGCAGCCUCGCAUCAGCGGCGCCGCUCCGCAGCCCCCCGCAGCCGCACGGGCAGAGCCGCGCAGCCGCCACGACCCGGGGCGCGGAGGGGGGGGACACACGACACACACACUCCUGACGGGGCGAACUACAACCCCCAGCGUGCCUCGCGGCGCGGCGCAUGCGCGGCGCGGCGGGGGCUGGGAACGGCCGCGCGUGAUGCGGCGGCGGCGGCGGUGAGGCCGCCGGGGGAGGGGGCGGGCGGCGCGCGAGGCGCUCCUAAAUGGCGCCCAAGCAGGACCCCAAGCCCAAGUUCCAGGAGGGUGAGCGGGGGGCGGCCGGGGGGGGGGCCUCGGGGCCGGGCCGGGCCGGGAAGGGACAAAGGGAGCGGGCGGGGGGGCUCCGACACCCGCUGCUGGGCCCCUGGGGCCUCCUCUCCCCCGGGGGUGCGCUGGGUUUUAGCCUGCGUUUCUCAGCCCCAGCGCUCCGGGAGUCUGUGGGAAGCGUCCGUUCCCUGCACCUCAGCCAGAGAGGCUGUUCUGGAAGGGCUGGCGUCCCUCCGGUCCUCAUCUCUUCUUCUUCUCGGCUUUCCUGCCCAUAAGGCCCGAGACCGCCCUUCUCCCCUCGUUCACACUACGCUCAAUUUUCUUGCAAGCGUGGGCAUUAAAACCGCUGGAACCUCCUGGCUGCGUCAGGACUUUCGUCCUCUCAGCCUUGAGGUGUGCUCGUCACUCGCCCUGCUUGAGGGGGAGCUCCGGUGGGCGCCGUGCUGGGGCCACGCAGCAGUUGGGGUGGGCUCACAGGAUCCACGCUUCCAUCAACGCGCCCGCCGUUCUAGGACAAUAACGGAUGAGGUUACGCUUCCUACGGGGCUUCCUUUGCACACAUCUCGAUUUUUAGGUAGUGGCUGUGGUUGGUACUGGUACAGGCAAGUGAAAACUCGUUUCCCCGUCCCUCACCGUGGCUCUGUCUCUAAAAAUGCAGCUCGCAGAAGAAGGACUGGAAGCCGGCUGCUCUGCGUCCCUCACCGCGCUGCUCGGGUGUGCAUCGGGGCAGCUGGCGGCAGGACGUGUUCGGUUGUGCGUCGGCGUCCCCAUGCCACGCGCCAACACCAGCGUUGUUAA
RNAcentral lists this long non-coding RNA (1182 nucleotides) under Anser brachyrhynchus (Pink-footed goose). RNAcentral's name for it is "lncRNA (ENSABRG00000007093.1)". The record is from RNAcentral. Lineage: Eukaryota; Metazoa; Chordata; Aves; Anseriformes; Anatidae.